GGGGAUGUAGCUCAGCUGGGAGAGCGCCUGCUUUGCAAGCAGGAAGUCAGGGGUUCGAGUCCCCUCAUCUCCA
This 73-nucleotide transfer RNA is filed under the name Pseudomonadota bacterium. Its description in RNAcentral is "tRNA-Ala". It matches the Rfam family "tRNA". From Rfam's summary of the family: Transfer RNA (tRNA) molecules are approximately 80 nucleotides in length. Their secondary structure includes four short double-helical elements and three loops (D, anti-codon, and T loops). Lineage: Bacteria; Pseudomonadati; Pseudomonadota. The record is from RNAcentral. RNAcentral also lists the same sequence under 6 other names.